GGAGAGGUGGCAGAGCGGCUGAUUGCACCACCUUGCUAAGGUGGGGAAGGGAUUACUCUCUUCCGGGGGUUCGAAUCCCCCCCUCUCCGCCA
Molecule: transfer RNA, 92 nt
Filed under: Planctomycetota bacterium
Lineage: Bacteria; Pseudomonadati; Planctomycetota
Description: tRNA-Ser
Rfam family: tRNA
About the family: Transfer RNA (tRNA) molecules are approximately 80 nucleotides in length. Their secondary structure includes four short double-helical elements and three loops (D, anti-codon, and T loops). Further hydrogen bonds mediate the characteristic L-shaped molecular structure. tRNAs have two regions of fundamental functional importance: the anti-codon, which is responsible for specific mRNA codon recognition, and the 3' end, to which the tRNAs corresponding amino acid is attached (by aminoacyl-tRNA synthetases). tRNAs cope with the degeneracy of the genetic code in two manners: having more than one tRNA (with a specific anti-codon) for a particular amino acid; and 'wobble' base-pairing, i.e. permitting non-standard base-pairing at the 3rd anti-codon position.
Source: RNAcentral